Molecule: small RNA, 4948 nt
Filed under: Pongo abelii (Sumatran orangutan)
Lineage: Eukaryota; Metazoa; Chordata; Mammalia; Primates; Hominidae
Description: processed transcript
Source: RNAcentral
GGCGCGGGGACCGGGCUGUCUGAGGCGCGCGCCGCGCUGGGGCUCGCGCUCUACCUGAUCGCGCUGCGGACGCUGGUGCAGCUCUCGCUGCAGCAGCUCGUGCUACGCGGGGCCGCUGGACACCGCGGGGAGUUUGACGCGCUCCAAGCCAGGGAUUAUCUUGAACACAUAACCUCCAUUGGCCCCAGGACUACAGGAAGUCCAGAAAAUGAAAUUCUGACCGUGCACUACCUUUUGGAACAGAUUAAACUGAUUGAAGUGCAAAGCAACAGCCUUCAUAAGAUUUCAGUAGAUGUACAACGGCCCACAGGCUCUUUUAGCAUUGAUUUCUUGGGAGGUUUUACAAGCUAUUAUGACAACAUCACCAAUAUUGUGGUAAAGCUGGAACCCAGAGAUGGAGCCCAGCAUGCUGUCUUGGCUAAUUGUCAUUUUGACUCAGUAGCAAACUCACCAGGCCAGUCAUGGUUUCAUUACACAGCACCCCUGGGCUAGCUUGAUUCGUGCAUUCAUUAACCUAGAGGCAGCAGGUGUAGGAGGGAAAGAACUUGUAUUCCAAACAGGUCCUGAAAAUCCUUGGUUGGUUCAAGCUUAUGUUUCAGCAGCUAAACACCCUUUUGCUUCUGUGGUGGCUCAGGAGGUUUUCCAGAGUGGAAUCAUUCCUUCAGAUACUGACUUUCGUAUCUACAGGGAUUUUGGGAACAUUCCAGGAAUAGACUUAGCUUUUAUUGAGAAUGGAUACAUUUAUCACACCAAGUAUGACACAGCGGACAGAAUUCUAACAGAUUCCAUUCAGAGAGCAGGUGACAACAUUUUAGCAGUUCUUAAGCAUCUAGCUACAUCUGAUAUGCUGGCUGCUGCUUCUAAGUAUCGACAUGGAAAUGUGGUCUUCUUUGAUGUGCUGGGCCUGUUUGUCAUUGCCUACCCCUCUCGUAUUGGCUCAAUCAUAAACUACAUGGUGGUAAUGGGGGUUGUUUUGUACCUGGGCAAAAAAUUGUUGCAGCCCAAACAUAAGACUGGUAACUACAAGAAGGACUUCUUGUGUGGACUUGGCAUCACUCUGAUUAGCUGGUUCACUAGCCUUGUUACCGUUCUCAUUAUAGCAGUGUUCAUCUCUCUUAUUGGACAGUCUCUCUCAUGGUAUAACCACUUCUAUGUCUCCGUUUGUCUGUAUGGAACUGCAACUGUAGCCAAAAUAAUACUUAUACAUACUCUUGCGAAAAGAUUUUAUUACAUGAAUGCCAGUGACCAGUAUCUGGGAGAAGUAUUUUUUGACAUUUCGCUGUUUGUCCAUUGCUGUUUUCUUGUUACCCUCACUUACCAAGGACUUUGCUCGGCGUUUAUUAGUGCUGUCUGGGUAGCAUUCCCAUUGCUCACAAAGCUCUGUGUGCAUAAGGACUUCAAGCAGCAUGGUGCCCAAGGAAAAUUUAUUGCUUUUUACCUUUUGGGGAUGUUUAUUCCUUAUCUUUAUGCAUUGUACCUCAUCUGGGCAGUAUUUGAGAUGUUUACCCCUAUCCUCGGGAGAAGUGGUUCGGAAAUCCCACCGGAUGUUGUGCUGGCAUCCAUUUUGGCUGGUUGUACAAUGAUUCUCUCUUCCUAUUUUAUUAACUUCAUCUACCUUGCCAAGAGCACAAAAAAAACCAUGCUAACUUUAACUUUGGUAUGUGCAAUUACAUUCCUCCUUGUUUGCAGUGGAACAUUUUUUCCAUAUAGCUCCAAUCCUGCUAAUCCGAAGCCAAAGAGAGUGUUUCUUCAGCAUAUGACUAGAACAUUCCAUGACUUGGAAGGAAAUGCAGUUAAACGGGACUCUGGAAUAUGGAUCAAUGGGUUUGAUUAUACUGGAAUUUCUCACAUAACCCCUCACAUUCCUGAGAUCAAUGAUAGUAUCCGAGCUCACUGUGAGGAGAAUGCACCUCUUUGUGGUUUUCCUUGGUAUCUUCCAGUGCACUUUCUGAUCAGGAAAAACUGGUAUCUUCCUGCCCCAGAAGUUUCUCCAAGAAAUCCUCCUCAUUUCCGACUCAUAUCCAAAGAACAGACACCUUGGGAUUCUAUAAAAUUGACUUUCGAAGCAACAGGACCAAGCCAUAUGUCCUUCUAUGUUCGAGCCCACAAAGGGUCAACACUUUCUCAGUGGUCUCUUGGCAAUGGCACCCCAGUCACAAGUAAAGGAGGAGACUACUUUGUCUUUUACUCCCAUGGACUCCAGGCCUCUGCAUGGCAGUUCUGGAUAGAAGUGCAGGUUUCAGAAGAACAUCCUGAAGGAAUGGUCACUGUGGCCAUUGCUGCCCACUAUCUAUCUGGGGAAGACAAGAGAUCCCCUCAACUGGAUGCUCUGAAGGAAAAGUUCCCAGAUUGGACAUUUCCCUCUGCCUGGGUGUGCACCUAUGAUCUCUUUGUAUUUUAAUCUUGUGGAUGAGCUCUAAGUACAUGCCCAGUGGAUACUCCAUGUGACAUGGUUUCUCCCUAUGUUACGUGGAUGUUUGUAACGUAAGUCAAUGAAUUUUAAUGAUCAUAUGUUCAAAGAGCUUUCUGGGUUAACACUUUUCAGGGCCAAGCACUAUAAGGGUUUAGCUGUGGCACAAUGAUGCAUGGCCUGUUGACACUUGAAAAUGCCAGUCUUUUGGCACUUAAGCACAUGUGGGUACUGCCACCACACACACGUCAUUUCAUAUGACCUUAAGGACAAAAGCCAACAAACCACUUCAAUAGCUGUCCCUUUAGGAUCAAGAAAGAUGUACACUGUCAGACCAUUGUUAAUGAGACAAAAGUUGUUUCCAAUUUAAGCCCCAAAACCAUUUGUUGUAUUAGUGGAUGGUGGGUAAAAUAUCAUUCACUGAGGUAAUGAUUCCCCUUGAGAAUAUAACUCUGUGUAGGUCACUGCAAAGUGAUUGCCAUAGGGCUGGGAGAGAAGCAUUGCACUCUUGAGGCUGUAGCCUGUGUCAAGCUGUUUCUUCAGGCAGCCUCUCAAAUGUGCUUUGUCUCUCUGUGCUGAGGCCUGGACCCUGUGCUGAGCUGGUGACUCACUGUCCUGACAAGUGGACACUCAGAUCCACUGCUGUGCUGCUUUCCUGAGGUGGUUUUCUAUACCUGUUUUCCUCUGAAACAUGUCUGUUACUCCUCUCCAUCUUACCAAGUUGAAAAGGGGAAUAUUUGGCCACAUACCCCUGUUUUUCGUAGGUUCUUUUGGUUCAGAAUAUUGUUUGUGCCAGUACAUGACCUUAACUUCCUUCUCAGAGCACUAAGCUGCCAUCUGGGCUAUUCUGGGGUAGAAGGCAGGCUGGGAGUGGUGGGCAUUUUAUAAAUAUUUAUUCUCUUUUGUUUCAUAGGAGUCUUGUGUUAUACAAGGUUAAUCCUUUAUGGUAUAAUCUUAUUGAUGCACUGGGCCUAUCUUUUUGUUUUCCAGCCAGUUGAAUAGAUUAGUUUUUCUCAGUAACUUACUAUCCAGCAGACUGGCUUUCCUGAGACUUGAGGUUGUGGCUUAUACUGGAAUGAGACCACUGUACGUGUAGGUGGUUCAGAUCCUGUGUAAUGGCAGCAUGAGGACUUAAAGGUGGUUUUCAUUUUGAAGAUGGCUACGUAGCUUGUAAGGUGUAUCACAGCAGUACCUCUCAUGGCUUUUUGGUUCCAGCAGUGAGGGCGUUGGUGAGAUCCAUGGUAAACUGUGCAAGCUUUCUUUUUAUCAUUAGGAAAUGUGAAACGUUGGACAAAGUUUGAGUUUUAACAAGGACAAAAAGUUGAAAGAAAAGGCACAGUUAACAAAAAAGGGUAGCUAGAUUUAUCCUGGGUGAUGGAGGAAAUGAGAGAGGAAUGCUCUUGAAAGGUGGUCUGUGGAUCUGUCUGAAUAGAAAGAGCAUAAUAAGUGUGCAUCGCAGGAGAAAACGUCCUUGAAACUGCUUGUCUCAUGUGUAUGAUGUGCUUUUUAAAUCAUGCUCCUCAUUGCCUGCCUAAUCUGUGACUCCCUAAAAGCUAACUGGGCCCAUGUAGAUAGGGCUGCAGCCAGAGCUGAAUAACAUGUUAGGCUGACACAUGUAUCAGCACUGCACACUGGAAUCAUUGCUCUUCCUGGACUUUGUAGAAAAGAGUCUGGCUCCUGCUACUUUUAUCUGUCAGGUAGCACAUAAGGUUUGCAGGGUUUAUAUCUUGUAUAGAAUCACAGUUGUGGAGAAAAAGUAAUAAUUUCUCAAUGAAUUUUAAAAAUGGGCCUAUUUUCUAUCCCCGUGGUUAAUCUGAUAUAAUUAGUGUUCCCUGUGAAUUCCCCCACUUUGGGAAGGAUGCCUUUACUCUUUAUCAGUAAUAAGUUAUAACUGUUUUCAUACUGCCUUAGGGUUAUUUCCCUGUGUAAACCAUUGUCGUUUGUUUUGGUUUUCUUUAGCAUUAUGAAGCUUUGGUGUUGUACAAGGUCAGUAAUAAGACGCUCACUAGUCUCAGGGCUUGUGUAAUAUUUUGGGAGGUCAUUUAAAUGCCAGAAAUGGUCAAGCAAUUAUACACAGUAUUUAUGACUCUCUUAAGCACACCGUUUGUCUGUCACAUUAGUAGCUUCUGAGAUUAAAAAAAAUUUUUUAAGAGUGAUCAUUUAAACAGUUUCUAAACGGUCUUUUUAAGCUCUAACAAAGUCACUAACAAAUGCAUUAUUUUCUACAGAAUUAAAUGUUAGUAGUACAGUACUGCAUAUUCAGGGAAAAAGUGUGAAGAAUUAUGAUUUCAAAGUAGUUCGUUCUUGUGUUUGACCUAAGAAUGAUUGUCGCAUGAAGUGUUUGUUUUUACAGUUUAGCAUAUAUAAACAAACAUGAUGGGAUUCCUUAAGAUGUUACCACCAAGGGGGCCACAAGCCAGCCUGCUGUCUCAGGAAGCUGUAGAAGGAGUGUUUGUCAAUUUCUUGUCACUGGUUUGCUGACUUACUGAGGAUUAAUUGUUGCCUUACAAUGUUACUGAAAUAAACUGUUUAAUAUAC